Molecule: long non-coding RNA, 457 nt
Organism: Thalassophryne amazonica
Lineage: Eukaryota; Metazoa; Chordata; Actinopteri; Batrachoidiformes; Batrachoididae
Exons: 3
Source: RefSeq, a predicted model, not a curated record
AAUUAAGCUGUAGAAACAUCUCAAGGAUGAUCAGUGGAAACAUGAGGCACCUGAGCUCAAUUUAGAGUUUCAUUACAAGAGACUGUAAAUACUCAUGUACAUGUGAUUUCUUAGUUGUUUUUUUUAAAUAAAUUAUAAAAAAAUAAAAAAAUCUAAGUUUCCUCAGCAGACUAAAAGCCUAGCCCUUUUAGUGAAAAGAUUUUCCACCAUUUAGCAUGUGGAACAAAAGCUAUAUAAACAGGACUUCUAGAAUUUCUUCAGCUCAUGCAAACCACAAAUGAACAUACUAGUGACAGUCUGUGAAAAACAUAUCUCAGAAUUAUCCUGCAGAGUUAUUCCAGAACAACAGCUGUUGCAUUUAAACUUUAUAGAGGAGAUCUGAACACCAUUCGUGUAACCUGUGAGUGAGCUCAACUUAACCCAAAUUUGGAGAAUGGUAAGCAAAGGGUGCAGGUUU